Molecule: non-coding RNA, 388 nt
Organism: Paramormyrops kingsleyae
Lineage: Eukaryota; Metazoa; Chordata; Actinopteri; Osteoglossiformes; Mormyridae
Source: RefSeq, a predicted model, not a curated record
AUGAUGACCGGUUACCUGUCCUCAGUGGGAGUAUGUGCUGGAGAACGCCGUGUAGGAAGCAUCUUAAGGACUCUGCAUCGCCCUUAUCACGAAUUACGAAGAUGUGGCGCACAGAACCUGAAUCCCAUACCCUAUUAUGCUGCAUAUGUGGGACACAAACUCCACUUAGACCAGAACGAAAAACUGGUGAUGUUUGGAGUUACUCACGUUAUGGCAGUAGAUGGGCACAGUGGUAAGGUUGUUUCCCAUGCAACCAUGCCAGUAAAAAAUAAUCUCCUCAUAUAUGAGCACGUGUACAGAAUCAUACAAUAGAAAGAAUGUGGCCAGAGAUUAGUAAAUUACCCACUAAAGGAGGCUCUCGUGCAACUGCUGGAUCAAGAAAUAAUAG